RNAcentral lists this long non-coding RNA (498 nucleotides) under Olea europaea (common olive). RNAcentral describes it as "long non-coding RNA (OEUR_LNC002976)". Lineage: Eukaryota; Viridiplantae; Streptophyta; Magnoliopsida; Lamiales; Oleaceae. The record is from RNAcentral.
AUCCCUAACCUCAACACAUGAGGACUCUAAACAUCACUCAACAAUAUAAAAGUAUUCAGUGGUUAAAACCUUCAAACUACUAAUCGAAUGAGAAGAUCGAUUACAAGAAAAUAGGGAAACAGAAAACCCUAGCUAGAGAGCACAGAAGAACUCUCUCGAACCUCACUCGAAAAGUCAGACGAAUGAACGGUCUCCCAGCCAAAUGAAGCGUCAAGUCACUUUUAUAUCACCAGAAAAUGUAACCCUUCUUCCAAUGGUAGAAAUAGUGUCAAAUGUCAUCAUCAGGCAGAAUGCCACUUAUAAAGUCACAUUUUCAUAAUGCGUUUAAUAGGCUGAAAAUAUGGGAACGACAAUACCACAGUUAGAAUCACAACAAUAAUAAAUUACUCCAUAAAACUCCGGCGGUUGGCACUUAUCGUCUCGCCCAUUAAAAUGGCCUUCUGCCACAACCCACCCUGCCCAAAUCCUUCAUUGACUUUGGCGUCGAAUUCUUCCCCG